Molecule: long non-coding RNA, 310 nt
Filed under: Fukomys damarensis (Damara mole-rat)
Lineage: Eukaryota; Metazoa; Chordata; Mammalia; Rodentia; Bathyergidae
Description: lncRNA (ENSFDAG00000028591.1)
Source: RNAcentral
CCGGAGAACCCGUCUGCCAUGCCUGGGGAGCCCGGCCCAGCCUAACCACCCAGGGGCCCUUCCUGUCCAGCGACCCCCACCACCGGCAUCAUGCCCCAGGACCCAGACCUCUUCUGAGAGGGAACAGAAGAAAGAGGUUGUCUUCAGAUAUCUGCAGCUCCUGAACAUCUUAUGCAUUUGUGAGACAUCUAUGGCAGAAGCUGGAACACCAAAUUAAUUUCGCGGUAUCCUUCAAUGACCCUUGAUUCUUGAUUCAACAAUGCAGCAAACAUUAGACCUGCUGGGGAAAAUGACAUUUUACAGGCACUGU